UCAUUGUAUUUUUCUCCAUCGCCUAUGUUCAUUAGCUAGCAGCACCAUCUUCGUUUUCUUUUCAUUGAAGCUUAAAAGAGUUAGCAGCAAACAAUUUAUCCUUCUUCAAUUAACCAAAGUACUAUGCACACCGUUCUUUCCCUUUGCAAUUCAGCGAAGUGUAGCAACAAAUAAAUAAGGUUUAUUUUAUGAGAAUUCCAUCAAAUUCUCUCAAGCAGUUGGAAUCGUGGUGAAGUAAAUGCUGGAAAGAUUUAAAAAAAAAAGGGAGACCCAAGUACAAUUUAUUGUCUAUGCCCAUCCACGAGCUCGUAUGAGCAUAUAAGGGAGAUCAGCGGGGGUUUGAUAGCUCGUGUAGAACUUGUUGGAAGUUGUGUUGAAGAUCUUAUUAUUGAUAUUUAUGGCUGAUUAUGAAGGAGGAAGACUUGAUAGAAUUGUUAGAGUGAUAACGUUGAGUUUUGAAAAAAUAUGGAUGUUGAACUUAUCUGUUUAGUAAUUCUAGAUCGACCUUGUUGCUCGUUAGGUUGUUGAUUGAGUUGCUGGUUGUGUUGUUGUGCUACCUUUCCUAUGGAUAGGCUUAAGGGAGUGGUCGUGAGGUGGAUACAAGUUAAACUCUUGAGCCAGUGGGUUAAGACCAGCCCCAGAUUGUUUGGCAGGUUAAGUGUAUAGCUAGGAUGCUUGGACGUCAGCUGGGAUUGGCAAGUUCUACCUCAUUCUGGAGCUGUGCUGAGUCAUGUAUAGAUACGUAUGAUUACGGGUAUGUCAGGGCCCGGUCCUGACUCAUAAUGUUCAGUUUACUUCUUAGAGACUUCUGCAGACAGUGUCUUGUGGUAUGUUUGUCGAGGUGUCGACAAAGUGAUGUCAGUUGAGUCCUUUGUGGAUUUUAAAAGAGUAUGUAUUUAAGAUGAUUUAGAUUGGUCUAAAGUACUUAUUGAUUGGAAAUUUUCAUAAUCAUUAUAGAGAUAAU
Long non-coding RNA from Lycium barbarum (goji berry), 964 nucleotides. RefSeq lists it as uncharacterized. Lineage: Eukaryota; Viridiplantae; Streptophyta; Magnoliopsida; Solanales; Solanaceae. The record is from RefSeq and is a predicted model, not a curated record. The transcript is spliced from 3 exons.